GGAGGGGAUCAAGUUCCUGAUAAAAAAGCUGCUAACUAUUUUUAUUAGCGGUUAAAUUCCGUUAGCCCCUUA
This 72-nucleotide transfer RNA is filed under the name Urochelellus acutihumeralis. RNAcentral's name for it is "tRNA-Ser". Lineage: Eukaryota; Metazoa; Arthropoda; Insecta; Hemiptera; Urostylididae. The record is from RNAcentral.